RNAcentral lists this ribosomal RNA (196 nucleotides) under uncultured Vibrionales bacterium. RNAcentral's name for it is "partial 16S ribosomal RNA". It matches the Rfam family "Bacterial small subunit ribosomal RNA", at positions 335 to 523 of the family's 1533-position model. Lineage: Bacteria; Pseudomonadati; Pseudomonadota; Gammaproteobacteria; Vibrionales. The record is from RNAcentral.
ACCCCUACGGGGGGCAGCAGUGGGGAAUAUUGCACAAUGGGCGUAAGCCUGAUGCAGCCAUGCCGCGUGUAUGAAGAAGGCCUUCGGGUUGUAAAGUACUUUCAGCAGUGAGGAAGGGGUGUAUGUUAAUAGCGUGCAUCUUUGACGUUAGCUGCAGAAGAAGCGCCGGCUAACUACGUGCCAGCAGCCGCGGUAA